RNAcentral lists this long non-coding RNA (4097 nucleotides) under Lactuca sativa (garden lettuce). RNAcentral describes it as "long non-coding RNA (LSAT_LNC006363)". Lineage: Eukaryota; Viridiplantae; Streptophyta; Magnoliopsida; Asterales; Asteraceae. The record is from RNAcentral.
CCUCAAACUUGAAAUGCUCAAAAAAAUUACGUAGUUACAUAUAUUGACAAUAAUCAUGUCUUAAUACCCUGCUAACUGUUUUUUUUUCCUUCUUCCCCAUAACAAGUAGCUAAGGGGGAUCCAUCUCCCAACCACCCUCUAGCUUCGAAGAACGCCAAACCUUUGUUCGUUCACUGGAAAUCAUUACAAGUGAAUCAUACUUUCACCCAUCUGUCUCAUGAACCAAAGUUAACCAUCAAUCUCUUCAAAACCAGAGAAAAAACAAUGAACAAUAUGAAGCAAUUACACAAACAUCCGAGCGCAAGCCAUAAAAGAGAUGAAGAGAUGAUGUCUACCCAUGAAAUCCCACCUUACUCCCCCAAAUCCCUCAAACACACAUCAGCAGUCAGAUCUAUUUCACGGUCCGUUAAUUACAUCCUCAAAGAACAACGUCUUCUCUUCACCCUAGUCGGAAUCCUCAUCGGCUCCGUCUUCUUCAUCUAUCAACCAUCAUUAUCUACCGUUUCCUCAAUCAACACUGUUACUAGCAACGAAUUGCCCUCAAUGCAAGCAGUUUCAUUCUCCCAACGUGACACCAACACCCACUACAGCCGGCCAGCUACCCACGACACUACAGGACAGAUUCCGGUGGGGAUUGGGUGGAAGAGGAUGCGGGUGGUGGUGACUGGUGGAUCAGGGUUCGUAUGUUUAAAUAUGUAAUAUGGACAAUUAUAUAUAUAACACAAUACCCAAAAAUACUUGGUAAAAUAAUUCUUUUUCAAAUCUGAUAUAACACAAUAUUAAAAAAAAUAAUCCCUAUUCUAAUAAAUGAAUAGUUUUAAUUUCUUUUUGCAAAAUGUCAUUUUAAUAUAACUUCUUAUUAAUAUUAUACCAUAUGUCAUUUAGAUAUAUUAGACAACUCUUUUUUUAAAUUCAAAUUUACAUUUUCUAAUUAUAUGUUAAAUUUGAAGUUAUAAUAACUUUAAAUUUUUGAUAUAUCUAUUAAUUAAUAAUUUAUUUAAAAUAAUUAAUUAAUAAUUAUAAAACUUUAUUAUAAAAAUUUAAUUAAUUUUAUAAAUUAGUUAUCUAAUAAUAAACCCAACUAGUUUAUCCAGUAGGUACUAUUUUAUAAAAAAUCCUAUUAGCAACCGCUUUACUUGAUGUUUAAGAAAAGGAAUAACGGUCAGUUGAGUUAACUCGGGUGUCGGUGAAACAGAAAUCGACAAAACCAGUUUUGGAUCAAAACUCACAAUCAUUAAUGGGGAACCAUAACUCCGGCGGGCGCCACCACCUACGAAACCGUAGAAAUGGUGAAACUGUAGUUCAAGUCCCUCAUUAUCAAUACGGACCUCCAUCAAAUCAAGCUCCCGUCGAGCUCAAUUACGCAUAACCAAAUGGCAGUAGUAUCACUCCCUUACUCUCAAGUCGACUGUAACUUGCGAGCUCUCGCCGGACAAGCAGAGGGCUUCGGUCGCUUCGCCGUCGGUGGACUUAAUGGACCGCUCUACCAUGUCACUACUCUAUCAGGUUUAGUCUCGCUAAUUAAUGAUCGUUCUCGACUCUCGUUAUCGUUUUGUUGGAUAAUUAGGGUUUUGCUAUCAAUGUACCGAUUCUGAAAUCGAUUAAUCUGCCAAAUCGUAUUCAGUUGAUUCAUUUAUUCAGAUAAUUGAUGUUAUACAUGAACAAGCUUUUACCUUGUUGUGUAGAUGAUGGACCUGGUUCACUUCGUGCUGGAUGUCGCAAGAAAGAACCUUUAUGGAUCGUAUUUGAAGUUUCGGGUUCCAUUGAACUGUCAUCUUAUCUAAAUGUAUCAUCUUACAAGACCAUUGAUGGACGUGGGCAGAGGAUUAAGCUUACUGGAAAGGGUUUGAGGCUGAAAGAAUGCGAACAUGUGAUUAUCUGCAACUUGGAAUUUGAAGGAGGUAGAGGGCAUGAUAUAGAUGGCAUUCAAAUCAAGCCUAAUUCAAAGCAUAUAUGGAUUGAUCGUUGUAGCCUCAAGGAUUAUGAUGAUGGGUUGAUUGAUAUUACCCGCCAAAGCACAAAUAUUACCAUUUCCCGGUAAUUACUUAAGAAGUAUUAACAGUGACUAUUUGUUAGUUCAGGUUGAUGAAAAAACAACUUUUUGUAUUUUAACUUUCUUUUUUGUGUAUUUAGUUGUCACUUUUCAAACCAUGACAAGACAAUACUAAUUGGAGGUGAUGCUUCACACCAUGGAGACAGAUGCAUGUGUGUCACUAUUCACCAUUGUUUCUUUGAUGGGACCCGCCAAAGGCAUCCACGUGUCAGGUUUGCCAAAGUACAUUUGUAUAACAAUUACACAAGAAACUGGGGAAUAUAUGCUGUCUGCGCUAGUGUUGAAUCACAGGUACACAAAUCUCUAAAUUUCCUUUUCCUUUUUCUUUUUUUUGAUCUUUAAGCAUAUGUAUAUAACUUAUUGAUUGCUUACUUCAGAUAUACUCUCAAUGCAAUAUAUAUGAAGCAGGACAGAAGAAGGUGGCUUUUAAGUACCUCACUGAGAAGGUAAACUACAUACUUUUUAUCGGCUGAGUGGUACCAUAUGCAGUGAUGGUUGUACAUUCUGCAGGCAGGUGACAAAGAGGAGGCAUGCACAGGUUGCAUUGUGUCUGAAGGUGAUCUGUUUAUGGCUGGAACUCAAGCUGGCUUAUUGGCUCCAGAUGCAACAAGUGGCUUAUUUCAUCCAAGCCAACACUAUGAGAAAUGCUCUGUUGAACCUGCAACAAUGGAACUUAAAGAUGUGUUGAAGCGUUGUACAGGGUGGCAACAAGUUCCAUGCCCAGCUGGCGAGUAAUCGGUUGUGUAUUCUUGGGUGAAUAUAUAUUAUAUUGAGAAAUUUGGUUUUAAUUGUUGAUGCAGAAUCGAUUUUCCUGGUGGGUCCAUCCCAAUGACAUGAUUUUGAAGUGUAUGAGUUAAUCUAUGUUGUAUGAAUCGAGUGUUUGAGAAGGGAGAAAUCCGAUUUAUGAUGCUAGGAACGAUUAUUUUCAAAAAAGAAAUCAGAUGCUUGUUGUUGAUGGAUAUGAUUCUAGACAUCUUUUUAGUUUUUGGUUUGAUUGUUUCUUGAAGAGGAAGAUAAAAGGGGUGAAUACUUCUUGAUUUUUAAUUUCUUGUUUUGUGAAGAGAGAGAGAGAGAGAGAGAGCCNGAGAGAGAGAGAGAGAGAGAGAGAGAGAGAGCCUUUUCAUUUUUUAAUUAUUAAAAUAAAUAAAUAAUUAUUAAAACUUUAAAAAAAAGAUUUUAGAAAUAGAAAAUAAAUACCCAAGGAUAUUAAAGUCAUUUCAGUUUACCGAUGGACCAAAUCUACAACCAAAAUAGCUCAAAAGGACCACGAAACAAAAAAAGUCGGGGUUUGAACUAAAACCCUAAAAAAAUCAUACCACAUGGACCAUUUUUGCAAUUUUGUCUUUUUUUAAUAACCAAUAAAUCAAAACGAAAUAAAAAAGUUCCAUUAACUUCAAAAAUAAGAUUUCAAUAAAAAAAAAAAUUUAAACUUGUCUUUUAAUUUCUCUUUAGCUUUUUAACUAUAAUAACUUAAAAUAAAUAGUAAUCCAAACAUUAAAAAUGUUAAUCUAUAUUAGAAAUAAAAAAAACAUUUUUAAAGUUAAAAAACUCCCAAACACCCCUCAAAAUACUAAAUUUUUUUUGGGUAGUUACUGACAAUAAUCAUGUCUUAGUACCUGCUAAAUGUUCUUUUCCUUCUUCCCCAAAUCAAGUAGCCAAGGGGGAUCCACCUCCCAACCACCUUCUAGCUUCGAAGAACGCCAAACCUUUGUUCGUUCACUGGAAAUCGUUACAAGUGAAUCAUACUUUCACACAUCUUUCUCAUGAACCAAAGUUAACCAGCAAUCUCUUCAAAACCAGAGAAAAAACAAUGAACAAUAUGAAGCAAUUACACAAACAUCCAAGCGCAAACCAUAGAAGAGAUGAAGAGAUGAUGUCUCCCCAUGAAAUCCCACCUUACUCCCCCAAAUCCCUCAAACACACAUCAGCAGUCAGAUCUAUUUCACUAUCCGUGAAUUACAUCCUCAAAGAACAACGCCUUCUCUUCACCCUAGUCGGAAUCCUCAUCGGCUCCGUCUUCUUCAUCUAUCAACCAUCAUUAUCU